AGAGUUUGAUCAUGGCUCAGAAUGAACGCUGGCGGCGCGCCUAAUACAUGCAAGUCGAGCGAGAAGACGUAGCAAUACGUUUGUAAAGCGGCGAACGGGUGAGGAAUACAUGGGUAACCUACCCUCGAGUGGGGAAUAACUAGCCGAAAGGUUAGCUAAUACCGCGUACGCUCCUUGGACUUCGGUUCAGGGAGGAAAGCGAUACCGUGGGUAUCGCGCUCUUGGUUGGGCUCAUGUCCUAUCAGCUUGUUGGUGAGGUAACGGCUCACCAAGGCUUCGACGGGUAGCUGGUCUGAGAGGACGAUCAGCCACACUGGCACUGCGACACGGGCCAGACUCCUACGGGAGGCAGCAGUAAGGAAUAUUGCGCAAUGGGCGAAAGCCUGACGCAGCGACGCCGCGUGGGGGAUGAAGGUCUUCGGAUUGUAAACCCCUUUCGGGAGGGAAGAUGGAACGAGCAAUCGUUCGGACGGUACCUCCAGAAGCAGCC
This 490-nucleotide ribosomal RNA is filed under the name uncultured Nitrospira sp. RNAcentral describes it as "bacterial SSU rRNA". It matches the Rfam family "Bacterial small subunit ribosomal RNA", at positions 8 to 492 of the family's 1533-position model. Lineage: Bacteria; Pseudomonadati; Nitrospirota; Nitrospiria; Nitrospirales; Nitrospiraceae. The record is from RNAcentral.